RNAcentral lists this unclassified non-coding RNA (378 nucleotides) under plant metagenome. RNAcentral's name for it is "partial contains 5.8S ribosomal RNA, internal transcribed spacer 2, and large subunit ribosomal RNA". The stretch from base 1 to 105 matches the Rfam family "5.8S ribosomal RNA", at positions 50 to 154 of the family's 154-position model. The record is from RNAcentral.
GAAAUGCGAUAAGUAAUGUGAAUUGCAGAAUUCAGUGAAUCAUCGAAUCUUUGAACGCACCUUGCGCUCCUUGGUAUUCCUUGGAGCAUGCCUGUUUGAGUAUCAUGAAAUCUUCAAAGUAAAUCUUUUGUUAACUCCAUUGGCUUCUACUUUGGUAUUGGAGGUCUUUGCAGCUUCACACCUGCUCCUCUUUGUUCAUUAGCUGGAUCUCAGUGUUAUGCUUGGUUCCACUCGGCGUGAUAAGUUAUCUAUCGCUGAGGACACUGUAAAAGGUGGCCAAGGUAAAUGCAGAUGAACCGCUUCUAAUAGUCCAUUGACUUGGACAAUACUUUUAUGAUCUGAUCUCAAAUCAGGUAGGACUACCCGCUGAACUUAAGC